This 829-nucleotide long non-coding RNA is filed under the name Ananas comosus (pineapple). RNAcentral's name for it is "long non-coding RNA (ACOM_LNC022987)". The record is from RNAcentral. Lineage: Eukaryota; Viridiplantae; Streptophyta; Magnoliopsida; Poales; Bromeliaceae.
ACGACCGACGACGAUUUCAUUUCUCCGCCGCCUCUGAGAAUCAGCGACGUAGAGCAGGUUGGAAGGCUCAUGGAGAUCUACUUAGCUGAAAUAGCUUCUGACCAGAACUUGAGUCUUGUGAGGUUCAUCGGCCUCGCUGAACUGAUCCCUGAACAAGCAAGAGUUACCGAAGACGGCACGUACAGAGCGAUUGAUAUAUACUUGAAGGUGCAUUGCAUUUUCAACUUACAAAUUUCUCGCAUGUUCGUCUCUUGAGGCGUGCAAUUUGAAAUGUAAUGCUAGAUUUAGUGAUCUCCUAGUAGUAAUGGACACUAUAAUCUUUGUGAUAGUAUAUCUUGUAUUGAUAUUCAUAGGCUCACCCAUCUUUAUCCGACGCGGAAAGGAAAAGGGUUUGCGCCUUGAUGGACUGCCAGAAGCUCUCAAGAGAAGCUUGUGCUCAUGCCGCUCAGAACGAUAGGCUCCCGGUGCAGAUAGUAGUCCAGGUGCUUUACUACGAACAGCAACGCCUUCGAGAUGCAAUGAGUGGUGGCUUCAUGUAUGGGGAUUCGCCUGCGCUUUCCUUAAAAGAGACUACAUUGGGGACUAGAUAUCACAAUCCACCGGACGAGCUGUCGCGCCUUCGACGAGAAAACGACGACCUCAAAAUGGAAGUCCUGAAGAUGAAAAUGCAAUUGAAAGAAUUAGGCAAUCGUUCGGGAAGCAUACCGUCUGCGAAUAAGCCUCCGCUGCCGAAGAAGUCGUUCAUCGACUCCGUUUCUAAGAAGCUCGGGCGCCUCCCGUUUAUGCGUUCGGAUAGCGUUAAGCCUACAAAAACAAAAGCAAAGCCUCC